This 2883-nucleotide unclassified non-coding RNA is filed under the name Hevea brasiliensis (rubber tree). The record is from RNAcentral. Lineage: Eukaryota; Viridiplantae; Streptophyta; Magnoliopsida; Malpighiales; Euphorbiaceae.
CAAGGGCACCACGCUCAAAUCAACAGUGCCUACCCAAUUUCCAAGCUGCAGGGGCACACCAUGAGCAACACCGAAAAGAGGUUUGGCAGGCUGAUCUACUGCCUUCAUGCAUCCAGGUUCCUUGGCCACCUUCAGGCCUAGCCUGGCAGCUUCCUCCACUGAAAUGAGGUUUUGGUUUGCCCCACUAUCCAGCAACGCCUUGGUGUCCACACCAUUCACCUUGGCGCCCACAAAUAUCAAGGCCUUCCCUGGCUGGAGUUUGGGAAUUGGCCUAGCCUUGGUAGUCUCCCCCGUGGCUACCUUGGCUCGCACAGCGUUCAUCACCCGCAACGUCCCCAGUUGCGCGGCCUCCCCUUCUUGGGAUGUCCCCUCGUAGGUAGAUGCGAUGGCAUUCAGCUUGGCUCGAGUGGGGCACUCACGCACCCAAUGAGCCCCGCCACAGAGAAAGCAGUCGUUCUUCGGCCUAGACUGAUCCUUGCUAGUUCCUUCGCCUUGCUGCUUCUCCUUUGGCUUAAAAGGCUUGCCUGCCUUGUGGGGCUUGUCUCCCCCACCUUUGCCAUAGUUGCCCUUCUUAGGCUUUUCUUUCUUAGCCUGCCCCUUUGAGAAUUCCACCAAUGAUUCGGCCACCGCAAUUGCGCUUGCAAGAUCUUGGACACCCCUCCGCUUCAACUCUUGUUCUGCCCACCGCUGCAGCCCAUCAAGAAAAUAUAGCAAGCGGCUUUUAUCGGGCAUGUCGGGGAUUUCCAGCAUAAGGGAGGAAUACUCCCGAAUGUAAUCCUUAAGAGACCCCGUAUGCUUCAACCCUCGUAGCUUCUUCAUUGCAACUUCUUCAGCAUUUUCGGGGUAGAAUUGCUUCUUGAGUUCCCCCUUAAAUGCCUCCCAAGUGCGAAUCUCUACCAGCCCCCUCUCCAUCUCGGCAUGACGACGUCUCCACCAAAGGAUAGCAUCAUGUUCAAGGUAGAGAGUGGUGGUUUUGAUUUUGGUAGCAUCAUCAACAACAUUCAAGGCAUCCAAAUAUUGCUCAACAAGCCAAAAAAAAUUAUCAAGUUCUUUAGCAUCUCGCUUACCUCCAAAUUUCGGUGGUUCCGGGACUUUGAUUUUCGGGGCAACGCUAGCUGUAGUGACUCCAGCAGAUACAGCAGCCUUGCAAAUAGCCACAUCUUCCUUCAGGGACGAAAUUUCUGCAGCAAUAUGACCACGAAAUUCCUCCAUGGACUUAUUGAUGGAAUCGAUGAAGGAAUUCAACGCACCUUGCAUAGCCCCUUCGAGUUCUUCCUUCAUGGCCUCCUGCUCUUCCUCCCGUGAGUCAAGAGUGUCCAUGAUAUCCCCCACGGCCAACUCCAGCUUGGCCAGCCUUGCUUCGAAGGCUUCUACCAAAUCCGAAGGGACAACAGCUCCCCUAGCCGACUCCUUCGACUUGGCCCGCCUCUUUGGCUGCACACGGGCUUCCUCACGCCCUCUUUCCUCUUGCACCUCCGAGAGGUUGCUUGCUUCAGCGUCUUUGCUUGACAUGGUUACAAACUCCCCCAGUUGCAACCUUGGCUCUGAUACCACGUGUCACAGGUCAAGACUUUCAGCUUGCCUAGUGCGGCACUUGCUCGGCAGAUUUCCCCAACACCGAAAACAAGUAAGCCUAUUCCAGCAAAGAACUCAAGCACACCCACACUCACACUUGGAAUGCACAAGAGAGAUUGAUUGGGCCAAAGAGAACUCUAUUAUGUACAAUUGCAAAGUGUGUACAAAGAGAAGUAUACAAGAACUCUUUAGGGACUCUUGAUAGCUCACACCACUCAAGUUGGCAUUUACAAGCCAAGGCAACAAGUAUUUAUAGGGAGAGGCACCUCCUCAUCUUCCCUCCCAAAUCCUCAAGAUUGGUGCAAGGCUUCUUGAAGAAUCAAGAGAAGUGGAGAGAAUUCCAGAGAAGUGGAGAGACUUCUGGAACCUUCCAGUCCUCUCUGCAAGCUUCUAGCCCAAAAUGAGGUUUGGUUGGCCCAAACUCCUUCUAGCAAGCCAAUUUCAGCCAGCCAAUUGCCCAGAACUUUCUAGCAUGUUCCAGCACGUCCCAGAGCCAUCCACAAGGCUCUAGAAAUUUCUGCAAGUCUCCACUUGGGCCACCUGACUUGCUUGGGCAAUUUUGGGCUGUUUGGCCCGUUUUCCUCUUGGGGGCUUACAACCUCCCCCACCAGAGUCCUUGACGCCCUCGUCAAGCUUUCCUUUCUUGUGAACCUCGAUUGCAUCCUUGAAUUGCCACAAAUCAGCUUCCUUUUCCCAACUUGCCUCAGUGUCGGGCAACCCCUUCCAUUUGAUCAGAAAUUCCGUGUGGUUGGGGACUCCUCGCUGGCGCACCACUCGUUCGGCCAAAAUUUCCCCAAUUUCCCGAUCAAAUGAGGUUACAACCGUGGGAGGGGCUCGCUGAGAUUUUCCUCUGUCCGGAUCCUCCUUGUCCGCAUAGUAAGGCUUUAGGAAGCUCACAUGGAAGACCGGAUGUAUCUUCAGUUGCGGGGGCAGCUCUACCCGAUAGGAUACCUUCCCAACCUUUUGAGUGAUAGGAAAGGGUCCUUCAUACCUUCUUACCAACCCUUGGUGCACUGACCUGUAGGCCUUGAACUGCCUAGAGGGUAGUUUGAUCAUGACAAGGUCACCCACUUGGAACUCCAAGGGCCUCCUCCUCAUAUCUGCCCAUUUCUUCAUUUUCUUGGAGGCCUUAUCUAGGUAGACUCUUGCCUCAUCAAGCUGCUCUCCCCAACCCUUAGCCCAUUUGUAGGCUGAAGGACUUACCCCGGUGUAACCCGCAGCAACAGCAUGAGGUGCCAACGGCUGUUGGCCCGUGGCAAUUUCAAAGGGACUCCGUUGGGUGGAUUCACUCCUUUGCAGGUUGUAAGA